GACGAACGCUGGCGGCGUGCCUAAUACAUGCAAGUAGAACGCUGAAGGAGGAGCUUGCUUCUCUGGAUGAGUUGCGAACGGGUGAGUAACGCGUAGGUAACCUGCCUGGUAGUGGGGGAUAACUAUUGGAAACGAUAGCUAAUACCGCAUAAUAGCAGUUGUUGCAUGAUAACUGUUUGAAAGGUGCAAUUGCGCCGCUACCAGAUGGACCUGCGGUGUAUUAGCUAGUUGGGGGGGUAGCGGCUCACCAAGGCGUUGACGCAUAGCCGGCCUGAGAGGGGGACCGGCCACAUUGGGACUGAGAUACGGCCAAGACUGCGACGGGAGGCAGCAGUGGGGAAUAUUGCACAAUGGGCGGAAGCCUGAUGCAGCAACGCCGCGGGCGGGAUGACGGCCUUCGGGUUGUAAACCGCUUGCGCCUGUGACGAAGCGUGAGUGACGGUAAUGGGUAAAGAAGCACCGGCUAACUACGUG
This 474-nucleotide ribosomal RNA is filed under the name uncultured bacterium. Its description in RNAcentral is "partial 16S ribosomal RNA". It matches the Rfam family "Bacterial small subunit ribosomal RNA", at positions 28 to 507 of the family's 1533-position model. The record is from RNAcentral.